MicroRNA precursor from Camelus ferus (Wild Bactrian camel), 52 nucleotides. It matches the Rfam family "mir-1302 microRNA precursor family". Lineage: Eukaryota; Metazoa; Chordata; Mammalia; Artiodactyla; Camelidae. The record is from Rfam.
UUUUUAGUGUAAGUAUGUCCCAUGCACUAUUUGGGACAUACUUAUACUAAAA